AACGGAUCUCUUGGUUCUGGCAUCGAUGAAGAACGCAGCAAAAUGCGAUAAGUAAUGUGAAUUGCAGAAUUCAGUGAAUCAUCGAAUCUUUGAACGCACAUUGCGCCCGCCAGUAUUCUGGCGGGCAUGCCUGUUCGAGCGUCAUUUCAACCCUCAA
This 157-nucleotide ribosomal RNA is filed under the name Fusarium sacchari. RNAcentral's name for it is "5.8S ribosomal RNA". It matches the Rfam family "5.8S ribosomal RNA". Rfam says of the family: 5.8S ribosomal RNA (5.8S rRNA) is a component of the large subunit of the eukaryotic ribosome. Lineage: Eukaryota; Fungi; Ascomycota; Sordariomycetes; Hypocreales; Nectriaceae. The record is from RNAcentral.